GAUGAAGAACGUAGCGAAAUGCGAUACGUAAUGUGAAUUGCAGAUCUCUCAGUGAAUCAUCGAAUCUUUGAACGCACAUUGCGCCCGCUGGUAUUCCGGCGGGCAUGCCUGUUCGAGCGUCAUUUCAACCCUCAAGCCCCCGGGUUUGGUGUUGGGGAUCGGCUCUGCCUUCUGGCGGUGCCGCCCCCGAAAUACAUUGGCGGUCUCGCUGCAGCCUCCAUUGCGUAGUAGCUAACACCUCGCAACUGGAACGCGGCGCGGCCAUGCCGUAAAACCCCAACUUCUGAAUGUUGACCUCGGAUCAGGUAGGAAUACCCGCUGAACUUAAGCAUAUCAAUAAGCGGAGGA
RNAcentral lists this unclassified non-coding RNA (348 nucleotides) under soil metagenome. Its description in RNAcentral is "partial contains 5.8S ribosomal RNA, internal transcribed spacer 2, and large subunit ribosomal RNA". The stretch from base 1 to 122 matches the Rfam family "5.8S ribosomal RNA", at positions 35 to 154 of the family's 154-position model. The record is from RNAcentral.